CCUGUGGCGCAAUAGGCAGCGCGUUCGGCUGUUAACCGAAAGGUUGGUGGUUCGAGCCCACCCGGG
Molecule: non-coding RNA, 66 nt
Organism: Caenorhabditis brenneri
Lineage: Eukaryota; Metazoa; Nematoda; Chromadorea; Rhabditida; Rhabditidae
Source: Rfam